UCCACAUAAAUUAGUCCAAUAUUGAUGCAAAAAGCAUAAAUAUAUAGUGUGUAUUGCUAGCAACUGUAUGAGUGAAUAUAACUUUUCAUAGCAUAAUUAUACUAUCUGCAUGUGGUCCUUUUCAUAACAUAAUACACUACACUUGUUGCUUAUAACAAGGACCAGAGGUAAUAUCAUUAUUAGUUUUUUAUUCAUACGUUGCUGGAAGUUUGAAAUGAACCAACUUAAAAGUUAAUAAAAGAUUGAGUGUGUUUGGUUACACGUGUCAGAUGCAGUUUUUUGUCUUUCAUAACAAACUAAUAGUUAUAACUUUUACAUCCAGAAGUGAUUUCUUACUUCUCAACGAAUUUCCAAACACGUAUUAAUUUGGAUGAUAUAUAUUGUCUUUUUUUUUUUUUUAAUUUCUUCUCCACUCAUUGCAGGCUCACACAGUAGUACUCCUCCAUCUCAUGGCCAUGGAAGCUCUCCACCCUCACAUCAUCACAGUAGUCCAAGUACUCCAUCAACACCCUCAGGUGGAAACUGUGGAUCAUCACCUCCACAACAUCAUGAUCCAACAACACCCUCAACUCCAUCAACACCAUCAAACCCUCCCUCAGGUGGAUACUAUGGAGGUAGCCCCCCAACACCUGUCACUGUGAGCCCACCAACUACUCCAGUUGACCCUGGAACCCCUAGUA
Molecule: long non-coding RNA, 680 nt
Filed under: Glycine max (soybean)
Lineage: Eukaryota; Viridiplantae; Streptophyta; Magnoliopsida; Fabales; Fabaceae
Description: long non-coding RNA (GMAX_LNC001847)
Source: RNAcentral